Molecule: ribosomal RNA, 253 nt
Filed under: uncultured bacterium
Lineage: Bacteria
Description: partial 16S ribosomal RNA
Rfam family: Bacterial small subunit ribosomal RNA
Source: RNAcentral
UACGUAGGGGGCUAGCGUUGUCCGGAAUUACUGGGCGUAAAGCGUGCGCAGGCGGUUUUGUAAGCCAGAUGUGAAAGCCCCGGGCUUAACCUGGGAAUGGCAUUUGGGGCUGCAAGGCUGGAGUUUGGCAGAGGAGACUGGAAUUCCUGGUGUAGCAGUGAAAUGCGUAGACAUCAGGAGGAAUACCGAUGGCGAAGGCAGGUCUCUGGGCUAUAACUGACGCUCAUGCACGAAAGCGUGGGGAGCAAACAGG